AUGUCAAAUAUCAGUUGGUACCGUCAUUGUUCGGUUCGGCUUCAACUCGUCACACUUGCACUUUUCCUUUUAUUAGGCUCCGCCUCUUUAGGCUCCGCCCACAUUGAUGAAGAGUUCGAAGAUGACGUCACGACGACAAUAUCAUCGAUUGCGUCACCGAUGAGGCGGACGUACACAAAUGAGUGGGCGGUGCGGAUAGCGGGUGGGAAGGUUGAAGAAGCGAACCGACUGGCGAACAAAUACGGGUACACGAAUUUGGGUCCGAUAAUUCCGGGUGACGAGUACUAUUUAUUCCGUGACGAUCGAAAAAAGAGUCGAUCGUCGCGAAAAACGCGAAGCUUAUCAGCAAAUCAGCUUCAACACGAGGAAGAUGUCAUGUGGAUGGAACAGCAAGUGGCGAAGCGGAGAGUGAAAAGAGGAUAUCGAAGGAUUCGACGACAUACUGAUGAUAAUGAUAUUUUUGAAGAGGAUGAUGAUGGUACUCAAAUUAGCAAGUCGAGAAAUAGAAAACAUCCGGAUCCGAACGAUCCGUUGUGGACUGAUAUGUGGUAUUUGAAUCGAGGUGAACAUCAUUCUGACUCAACAACCCGUAUGGAUCACAAUGUAAAAGAAGCCUGGGACCUCGGGUACACAGGAAAAGGAGUCGUCGUCACGAUUCUUGACGACGGUUUGGAAAGAACUCACCCAGAUAUUUCUCCGAAUUACGAUGAACGUGCUUCAUAUGACGUCAACGAUCGAGAUAAUGACCCGAUGCCAAGAUACGAAUUUUCGGAUGAAAAUCGACAUGGAACUCGGUGUGCUGGAGAAGUUGCGGCGAUUUUUAAUAAUAGUUUAUGUAUUGUUGGAAUAGCUUACAAUGCAAAUAUCGGUGGAAUCAGAAUGCUCGAUGGUGACGUCACAGAUGCCGUCGAAGCCGCUUCCGUUGGGCAUAAUGCAGAUUACAUUGAUAUUUAUAGCGCAUCCUGGGGACCGGAUGACGAUGGCCGAACCGUCGACGGCCCCGCAAAACUCACAAGAAGUGCCUUCGAAAAAGGAAUCACCAUGGGUCGAAAAGGAAAAGGCUCAAUUUUUGUAUGGGCAUCAGGAAAUGGAGGAAAAGACGCGGAUUCGUGUAAUUGUGAUGGGUACACCAACUCCAUAUACACGUUAUCCAUAUCAAGUGCCACUGAAAAUGGAAAUAUCCCAUGGUACUCUGAAGCUUGCAGUAGUACCCUUGCGACUACCUACUCUAGUGGAGCAACUGGCGAAAAGAUGAUCCUAACCACAGAUCUACACCACGCGUGCACAAAUAUGCACACGGGGACCAGUGCAAGUGCUCCGUUGGCUGCUGGAAUUGUUGCUCUUGCUCUAGAAGCCAACCCGAAUCUCACGUGGCGAGACCUUCAACAUAUUGUGAUACGAACUGCAAAGCCUAUCAAUUUAAGAGCAGGAGAUUGGACUACAAAUGGGGUUGGGAGAAAUGUGUCCCAUAGUUUUGGUUAUGGGUUGAUGGAUGCUGGAGCCAUGGUGAAGCUGGCAAAGAUCUGGAAGAAGGUUGAUGAGCAGCAUCGGUGCAGGCAGUUUUAUCCGUCGAGAUAUAAGUGAGUAGUUAUCACCCAAAUUUAUGAAAAAUUCCAGAAGUUUCUCGAAUUUUGCAAAAGUUUUCAAAAGUUUCUAAACAUUUCUAAAACUUUCCUGCUGUUUUCAGAAUUUUUAAGAAUUUUCCGUUUUCAGGAGCUAUUAAAAUUUUUUUAGACUUUCUAGAAGUUUGUCAAACAUUUAAAAAUGUUUCCUAAUACUCGAGAAAAUUUUAAAAAUUUACUGAAAAUCCCUGAGAUCUUCAAAAAUUUUUGACAAGUUUCUAGACGUUUCUCAAAUCUUCCAGAAGUUUAUAGAAGUCUACAGAAAUUUCCAAAAAUUUCUCGAUUUUUCCAGAAGUUUCUAGAAGUUUCAGAAGUUCACACAAUUUUCCAGAAAUUUCCAGGGACUUCUACGCGUUUUCAGAAGUUUCCGAAAAUUCUAGAAAUUGAGAAAAUGUUUAGAAAUUCCAAAAAACUCCAAGUUUUUAGAAAUAUCCCCAACGGAAACCGCCUUCAACUCCAACUUUACUCCGACGGAUGUUAUGGUGGAGCCGAUGAGAAUAAGGUGUCUUAUGUGGAGCACGUGCAGGCAAUCGUCACAUUGAAAGCUCCAAAACGUGGAGAUUUGCAAAUCUACUUGACUUCUCCGUCAGGCACAAAAUCCACGUUGCUCACAAAAAGAGCACGCGACACAUCACGAAGUGGCUUCACAGAUUGGGCUUUCAUGACGACCCAUAACUGGGGGGAGCAGGCCGCCGGGCUGUGGAUUCUGGAAAUCGAUAAUGAUGGAUGGGAUGACGCCGAGCUUGUAAAAUGGGAACUCGUGCUCUACGGAACUGAUCGGGAAACCGGCGACUUUGGAGGCCAACAUGCUUCACCGUUAGCCGUCAGAAGUGUCCAGAUGGAAGCCACGUCAUCCGGCACCCAAUAUUCAAUUUUCCACGUCAUCACUCUUGUCAUAUUAACAUUUUCCCAGAUUUUAUAUUAA
Molecule: unclassified non-coding RNA, 2547 nt
Filed under: Caenorhabditis elegans
Lineage: Eukaryota; Metazoa; Nematoda; Chromadorea; Rhabditida; Rhabditidae
Description: Non-coding transcript of protein-coding gene kpc-1
Source: RNAcentral